UACGUAGGCAGCAAGCGUUGUUCGGAGUUACUGGGCGUAAAGGGUGCGUAGGCGGUCCUAUAAGUAUGGUGUGAAAUCUCCGAGCUUAACUCGGAAACUGCCGUGGAUACUAUCAAUCUUGAAUAUCGUGGAGGUAAGCGGAAUAUGUCAUGUAGCGGUGAAAUGCUUAGAUAUGACAUAGAACACCAAUUGCGUAGGCAGCUUACUACACGAUCAUUGACGCUGAGGCACGAAAGCGUGGGGAGCAAACAGG
This 253-nucleotide ribosomal RNA is filed under the name uncultured bacterium. Its description in RNAcentral is "partial 16S ribosomal RNA". It matches the Rfam family "Bacterial small subunit ribosomal RNA", at positions 524 to 776 of the family's 1533-position model. The record is from RNAcentral.